CUACGGGGCGCUCCAGUGAGGAAUAUUGCACAAUGGAGGAAACUCUGAUGCAGCAACGCCGCGUGGAGGAUGACGCAUUUCGGUGUGUAAACUCCUUUUAUAUGUCAAGAAAAUGACGGUAGCAUAUGAAUAAGCACCGGCUAACUCCGUGCCAGCAGCCGCGGUAAUACGGAGGGUGCAAGCGUUACUCGGAAUCACUGGGCGUAAAGGACGCGUAGGCGGGAGAUCAAGUCAGGUGUGAAAUCCUACAGCUUAACUGUAGAACUGCACUUGAAACUGGUAACCUAGAGUAUGGGAGGGGGAGAUGGAAUUAGUGGUGUAGGGGUAAAAUCCGUAGAUAUCACUAGGAAUACCUAAAGCGAAGGCGAUCUCCUGGAACAUAACUGACGCUAAGGCGUGAAAGCGUGGGGAGCGAACAGGAUUAGAUACCCGGGUAGUC
Molecule: ribosomal RNA, 439 nt
Filed under: uncultured bacterium
Lineage: Bacteria
Description: partial 16S ribosomal RNA
Rfam family: Bacterial small subunit ribosomal RNA
Source: RNAcentral